AUUGAACGCUGGCGGCAGGCCUAACACAUGCAAGUCGAGCGAGCGGCGGACGGGUGAGUAAUGCCUAGGAAUCUGCCUGGUAGUGGGGGAUAACGUCCGGAAACGGGCGCUAAUACCGCAUACCAUCAGAUGAACCCAUAUGGGAUUAGCUUUUAGGUGGGGUAACGGCUCACCUAGGCGACGAUCCCUAGCUGGUCUGAGAGGAUGAUCAGCCACACUGGGACUGAGAAACGGCCCAGACUCCUACGGGAGGCAGCAGUGGGGAGUAUUGCACAAUGGGCGAAAGCCUGAUGCAGCCAUGCGGCGUGUAUGAAGAAGGCCUUAGGGUUGUAAAGUACUUUCAGUCGGGAGGCGUUACCGACAGAAGAAGCACCGGCUAACUCCGUGCCAGCCGCCGCGGUAAUUC
RNAcentral lists this ribosomal RNA (406 nucleotides) under uncultured bacterium. RNAcentral describes it as "partial 16S ribosomal RNA". It matches the Rfam family "Bacterial small subunit ribosomal RNA", at positions 30 to 526 of the family's 1533-position model. The record is from RNAcentral.